UCAAAGAAAAGGCAAACUUAUUGAAAAAUAAGGACGCAAAGCUACAGGUCUAAGGGGGAAGGUGCUAUGAUGGCUGGGCUGCCUAG
This 86-nucleotide non-coding RNA is filed under the name Domibacillus aminovorans. Its description in RNAcentral is "Bacillus aminovorans c-di-GMP sequence". It matches the Rfam family "c-di-GMP-I riboswitch aptamer". Rfam says of the family: GEMM was predicted in a large-scale screen for bacterial structured RNA regulatory elements. Genes associated with GEMM are involved in a diverse array of functions, including chemotaxis regulation, signal transduction, secretion and chitin. Lineage: Bacteria; Bacillati; Bacillota; Bacilli; Caryophanales; Bacillaceae. The record is from RNAcentral.